UACGAAGGGGGCUAGCGUUGUUCGGAUUUACUGGGCGUAAAGCGCACGUAGGCGGAUCGUUAAGUGAGGGGUGAAAUCCCAGGGCUCAACCCUGGAACCGCCUUUCAUACUGGCGAUCUUGAGUCCGGAAGAGGUGAGUGGAACUCCUAGUGUAGAGGUGGAAUUCGUAGAUAUUAGGAGGAACACCAGUGGCGAAGGCGGCUCACUGGUCCGGUACUGACGCUGAGGUGCGAAAGCGUGGGGAGCAAACAGG
Molecule: ribosomal RNA, 253 nt
Filed under: uncultured bacterium
Lineage: Bacteria
Description: partial 16S ribosomal RNA
Rfam family: Bacterial small subunit ribosomal RNA
Source: RNAcentral